RNAcentral lists this ribosomal RNA (587 nucleotides) under uncultured marine group I thaumarchaeote. Its description in RNAcentral is "bacterial SSU rRNA". It matches the Rfam family "Archaeal small subunit ribosomal RNA", at positions 1 to 595 of the family's 1478-position model. Lineage: Archaea; Thermoproteati; Nitrososphaerota. The record is from RNAcentral.
UUCUGGUUGAUCCUGCCGGACCUGACUGCUAUCGGAUUGAUACUAAGCCAUGCGAGUCAUUGUAGCAAUACAAGGCAGACGGCUCAGUAACGCGUAGUCAACCUAACCUAUGGACGGGAAUAACCUCGGGAAACUGAGAAUAAUGCCCGAUAGAACACUAUACCUGGAAUGGUUUGUGUUCCAAAUGAUUUAUCGCCGUAGGAUGGGACUGCGGCCUAUCAGUUUGUUGGUGAGGUAAUGGCCCACCAAGACUAUUACAGGUACGGGCUCUGAGAGGAGUAGCCCGGAGAUGGGUACUGAGACACGGACCCAGGCCCUAUGGGGCGCAGCAGGCGAGAAAACUUUGCAAUGUGCGAAAGCACGACAAGGUUAAUCCGAGUGGUUUCUGCUAAAGGAACCUUUUGUUAGUCCUAGAAACACUAACGAAUAAGGGGUGGGCAAGUUCUGGUGUCAGCCGCCGCGGUAAAACCAGCACCUCAAGUGGUCAGGAUGAUUAUUGGGCCUAAAGCAUCCGUAGCCGGCUCUGUAAGUUUUCGGUUAAAUCUGUACGCUUAACGUACAGGCUGCCGGGAAUACUGCAAAGCUAG